AUGGGGGCUGGGGGGAGGGGAAGGGAAAGGGAUCCCUGCUGGAAACCCCUGACGCUCACACACCGGUACGUUCUCUCGGCGGGCGGGCAGGUAAUCGCGGGCGAACGACCUGCUGCGCCCCAGCGUGGGCAAAAGCGCGGGACUGGAGCUUUUGCAGGGCGGAGCGCGCGCACUUGUCCUUGUCUGUCUUCCUUCCUUCCUUCCUUCCUUCCUUCCUUCCUUCCUUCCCCGGGGCUGGGCAGGCGGCGCUGCGAAGCAGCUCUUGCUGGGGGGGGGGCACCUUCGCCAACGCUGCUGCAGUCGGCGGCCUCGCUCGGCCGCGGCGAGCGCCAGGGGCGCCAAGAAGAACCAAAGGCCGAGAAGGAGAAGAGCCGCCGCCGCCGGGGUUCCGCCGGGCGAGAGCGGCCACGAGGCGCCCCUUUGGCUCCGCGUCCAAACAGCCGCGCUGUGCCGCCGGCGCGGCGGAGUCGCUCUCCGCUCGCCCGCUCGCUGCGAACGGCGGCGUCUCCGCCCCUUUCGACACCCGACCCGCCUCCCUCCUGCUGGCGACCGUGUGAAGCGAGCGGGGCAGCCGCGGCGGGCAGCGAGGCGAGAGGAGGCGGACGAUCCAGACGACGGGGCGGCGGGAGGCAGAGAGCGACGGCGCUUCGAGCGGAAGGGACGCGAAGAGGCGAGCGGGCGGCAUGAAUACUCCUCUUGUAUGCCGCUUGGAGCGUCUUUUUGGUUAGACAUCAGUUAAGAAGACCUUCAGUGUAGAAAUGCAUCACCAGAC
This is a long non-coding RNA of Salvator merianae (Argentine black and white tegu), 772 nucleotides long. The record is from Ensembl. Lineage: Eukaryota; Metazoa; Chordata; Lepidosauria; Squamata; Teiidae.